This 490-nucleotide ribosomal RNA is filed under the name uncultured bacterium. RNAcentral's name for it is "partial 16S ribosomal RNA". It matches the Rfam family "Bacterial small subunit ribosomal RNA", at positions 30 to 507 of the family's 1533-position model. The record is from RNAcentral.
AUUGAACGCUGGCGGCAGGCCUAACACAUGCAAGUCGAACGGUAACAGGAAGAAGCUUGCUUCUUUGCUGACGAGUGGCGGACGGGUGAGUAAUGUCUGGGAACCUGCCUGAUGGAGGGGGAUAACUACUGGAAACGGUAGCUAAUACCGCAUAACGUCGCAAGACCAAAGAGGGGGACCUUCGGGCCUCUUGCCAUCGGAUGUGCCCAGAUGGGAUUAGCUAGUAGGUGGGGUAACGGCUCACCUAGGCGACGAUCCCUAGCUGGUCUGAGAGGAUGACCAGCCACACUGGAACUGAGACACGGUCCAGACUCCUACGGGAGGCAGCAGUGGGGAAUAUUGCACAAUGGGCGCAAGCCUGAUGCAGCCAUGCCGCGUGUAUGAAGAAGGCCUUCGGGUUGUAAAGUACUUUCAGCGGGGAGGAAGGGAGUAAAGUUAAUACCUUUGCUCAUUGACGUUACCCGCAGAAGAAGCACCGGCUAACUCCGUG